GAAAGACCUGUCACCUUUUGAUUUUAAGUGGGAGAUGAGGACCAGGAAAAGCAACUGACCGAAACACUGGAGAGUUCAAAGUCACGCAAAAGCUCCCAUUGUUCCACUGCUGAACUGUGAGCAACCUGAACACUGGCAGAAGCAUCAGUGCACAUUUCGAGUGAGGAGCAGUCGGUCAGUUUGAAGAGGUGAACCAGAGGAAACAAUUAAAAAGACCUACAUCAUACAGCAGAUAUGUCAUUUAACUCCACCUCCAACUAUAUUAUGGAUGACAUCUGCUCCAUAAGUUCAUCGAAAUUGAUUCCAUACUACGCAGUGAAAAUCACCCUCCUCAUCACUGUCUGUUUCCUCGUCUUUUAUGUUAGUCACCAAAGAUGGCGGCGGCAGCGCUCCUUUAAAACAGCA
Molecule: long non-coding RNA, 405 nt
Organism: Oreochromis aureus
Lineage: Eukaryota; Metazoa; Chordata; Actinopteri; Cichliformes; Cichlidae
Exons: 3
Source: RefSeq, a predicted model, not a curated record